AGAGUUUGAUCCUGGCUCAGAACGAACGCUGGCGGCGUGGAUAAGACAUGCAAGUCGGACGAGAUUUUUCGUUGUAGCAAUACGGUGGAAAGUCUAGUGGCGAACGGGUGCGUAACACGUGGGCAAUCUGCCUUAAAGUGGGGGAUAGCUCGGCGAAAGCCGGAUUAAUACCGCAUGUGAUUAGCGGAGACAUCUUCGCGAAAUUAAAGUCGGGGCAACCUGACGCUUUUUGAGGAGCCCGCGGCCUAUCAGCUUGUUGGUGAGGUAACGGCUCACCAAGGCUUUGACGGGUAGCUGGUCUGAGAGGACGACCAGCCACACUGGGACUGAGACACGGCCCAGACACCUACGGGUGGCAGCAGUCGAGAAUUUUUCUCAAUGGGGGAAACCCUGAAGGAGCGACGCCGCGUGGAGGAUGAAGGUCUUCGGAUUGUAAACUCCUGUCAUUGGGGAACAAUGGUUACGCGUUAACUGCGCGUGACUUGAUAGUACUCGAAGAGGAAGAGACGGCUAACUCUGUGCCAGCAGCCGCGGUAAUACAGAGGUUUCAAGCGUUGUUCGGAUUCAUUGGGCGUAAAGGGUGCGUAGGCGGCGCGGUAAGUCGGGUGUGAAAUCUCGGGGCUUAACUCCGAAACUGCAUUCGAUACUGCCGUGCUUGAGGACUGGAGAGGAGACUGGAAUUUACGGUGUAGCAGUGAAAUGCGUAGAUAUCGUAAGGAAGACCAGUGGCGAAGGCGGGUCUCUGGACAGUUCCUGACGCUGAGACACGAAGGCCAGGGGAGCAAACGGGAUUAGAUACCCCCGUAGUCC
RNAcentral lists this ribosomal RNA (810 nucleotides) under uncultured bacterium. Its description in RNAcentral is "bacterial SSU rRNA". It matches the Rfam family "Bacterial small subunit ribosomal RNA", at positions 8 to 796 of the family's 1533-position model. The record is from RNAcentral.